CCUACGGGAGGCAGCAGUAGGGAAUUGUUCGCAAUGGGCGCAAGCCUGACGACGCAACGCCGCGUGGAGGAUGAAGACCUUCGGGUCGUAAACUCCUUUCGACCGAGAUGAAUACCCACCGACCCAACACGUCGGUGGGCUGACAGUAUCGAGGGAAGAAGCCCCGGCUAACUCCGUGCCAGCAGCCGCGGUAAUACGGGGGGGGCAAGCGUUGUUCGGAAUUACUGGGCGUAAAGGGUUCGUAGGUGGCCUGCUAAGUCACACGUGAAAUCCCUCAGCUUAACUGGGGAACUGCGUGUGAGACUGGCGGGCUUGAGUGCAGGAGAGGAACGCGGAAUUCCAGGUGUAGCGGUGAAAUGCGUAGAUAUCUGGAGGAACACCGGUGGCGAAGGCGGCGUUCUGGACUGCUACUGACACUGAGGAACGAAAGCCAGGGGAGC
This 440-nucleotide ribosomal RNA is filed under the name uncultured bacterium. Its description in RNAcentral is "bacterial SSU rRNA". It matches the Rfam family "Bacterial small subunit ribosomal RNA", at positions 338 to 769 of the family's 1533-position model. The record is from RNAcentral.